Molecule: ribosomal RNA, 492 nt
Filed under: uncultured bacterium
Lineage: Bacteria
Description: partial 16S ribosomal RNA
Rfam family: Bacterial small subunit ribosomal RNA
Source: RNAcentral
AGUGAACGCUGGCGGUAGGCCUAACACAUGCAAGUCGAACGGCAGCACAGUAAGAGCUUGCUCUUACGGGUGGCGAGUGGCGGACGGGUGAGGAAUACAUCGGAAUCUACUUUUUCGUGGGGGAUAACGUAGGGAAACUUACGCUAAUACCGCAUACGACCUACGGGUGAAAGCAGGGGAUCUUCGGACCUUGCGCGAUUGAAUGAGCCGAUGUCGGAUUAGCUAGUUGGCGGGGUAAAGGCCCACCAAGGCGACGAUCCGUAGCUGGUCUGAGAGGAUGAUCAGCCACACUGUAACUGAGACACGGUCCAGACUCCUACGGGAGGCAGCGGUGGGGAAUAUUGGACAAUGGGCGCAAGCCUGAUCCAGCCAUACCGCGUGGGUGAAGAAGGCCUUCGGGUUGUAAAGCCCUUUUGUUGGGAGAGAAGAACAGCAGGUUAAUACCCCGCUGUUCUGACGGUACCCAAAGAAUAAGCACCGGCUAACUUCGUG